RNAcentral lists this long non-coding RNA (220 nucleotides) under Oryza brachyantha (malo sina). RNAcentral's name for it is "long non-coding RNA (OBRA_LNC000569)". The record is from RNAcentral. Lineage: Eukaryota; Viridiplantae; Streptophyta; Magnoliopsida; Poales; Poaceae.
AUCCAAUGGUUCAAAAGAAGAAAAAAAACAACCGCGGCUGGUACAUCGCCUCUCCUCGCCCCGCCCCGCCCGUCGCCGCCGUGUCCGCGAGUCGCGAGGGGAUCGCUCGUCGGCGCGAACUCGAAAAGCCCAGGACGGCAGGCACCGCAGAGCGCGUAGGGCCAACCGGAAACCUCAUUGGCUGGCAGCGGAACCUUUCGAUGCUCCGCUGAACCGGCGG